This 492-nucleotide ribosomal RNA is filed under the name uncultured bacterium. Its description in RNAcentral is "partial 16S ribosomal RNA". It matches the Rfam family "Bacterial small subunit ribosomal RNA", at positions 29 to 507 of the family's 1533-position model. The record is from RNAcentral.
AGUGAACGCUGGCGGUAGGCCUAACACAUGCAAGUCGAACGGCAGCACAGUAAGAGCUUGCUCUUACGGGUGGCGAGUGGCGGACGGGUGAGGAAUACAUCGGAAUCUACUUUUUCGUGGGGGAUAACGUAGGGAAACUUACGCUAAUACCGCGUACGACCUACGGGUGAAAGCAGGGGAUCUUCGGACCUUGCGCGAUUGAAUGAGCCGAUGUCGGAUUAGCUAGUUGGCGGGGUAAAGGCCCACCAAGGCGACGAUCCGUAGCUGGUAUGAGAGGAUGAUCAGCCACACUGGAACUGAGACACGGUCCAGACUCCUACGGGAGGCAGCAGUGGGGAAUAUUGGACAAUGGGCGCAAGCCUGAUCCAGCCAUACCGCGUGGGUGAAGAAGGCCUUCGGGUUGUAAAGCCCUUUUGUUGGGAAAGAAAAGCAGCAGGUUAAUACCCCGCUGUUCUGACGGUACCCAAAGAAUAAGCACCGGCUAACUUCGUG